This 331-nucleotide unclassified non-coding RNA is filed under the name soil metagenome. Its description in RNAcentral is "partial contains 5.8S ribosomal RNA, internal transcribed spacer 2, and large subunit ribosomal RNA". The stretch from base 1 to 120 matches the Rfam family "5.8S ribosomal RNA", at positions 35 to 154 of the family's 154-position model. The record is from RNAcentral.
GAUGAAGAACGCAGCGAAAUGCGAUAAGUAGUGUGAAUUGCAGAAUUCAGUGAAUCAUCGAAUCUUUGAACGCACAUUGCGCCCUUUGGUAUUCCUUAGGGCAUGCCUGUUCGAGCGUCAUUUAAACCUUCAAGCUCAGCUUGGUGUUGGGUGACUGUCCGCUUCACCGCGGACUCGCCUCAAAAUUAUUGGCGGCCGGUACAUUGGCUUCGAGCGCAGCAGAAACGCGAACUCGGGCCCGUCGUAUUGGCUCCCAGAAGCUAUCUUCACAAUUUGACCUCGGAUCAGGUAGGGAUACCCGCUGAACUUAAGCAUAUCAAUAAGCGGAGGA